Molecule: transfer RNA, 76 nt
Filed under: Candidatus Saccharimonadota bacterium
Lineage: Bacteria; Candidatus Saccharimonadota
Description: tRNA-Thr
Rfam family: tRNA
About the family: Transfer RNA (tRNA) molecules are approximately 80 nucleotides in length.
Source: RNAcentral
GCCACCUUAGCUCAGUUGGUAGAGCGAUGCUUUCGUAAAGCAUAGGUCGCCGGUUCGAUCCCGGCAGGUGGCUCCA